Lepisosteus oculatus (spotted gar) is the source of this 1682-nucleotide long non-coding RNA. RefSeq lists it as uncharacterized. Lineage: Eukaryota; Metazoa; Chordata; Actinopteri; Semionotiformes; Lepisosteidae. The record is from RefSeq and is a predicted model, not a curated record.
CCGAUCCGGCGCACAGUGUGAGAGACCGCCUGAGCAUGUGGAGUUUUUUCAGAUGUUCUUCUUUUUUUCUUUUGCUCUCUGGAUGCGACACCGGAUUUGAGAAUGGCCCUCAGUCGGCAGAAUCUUCAUGGCAAAUCCAAAAGACUUGAUGGGACAUUUUCCACAUUCCCCAUACCCUGAUCACAAAUCUGAAUCGACAGACCAGGAUGGAUGCUUGAUGUCCCUAAUUUCUCAGAUUAGCUGUUUACGAGAUUCGAACAUCCAUGACGCCUUCUUAUCAUCAGAGAAACUCUAUUCGUGGUUGAGUGAAGUAAGAAAAGUCUUUUGUUGAAAUGGAUCACAAAGCUCAAUUGAUGAAUUCUUCGAGAUUGUUUUAAAAUGGAAGAAUACAAAACCACUCACGACGGCUGCUUCUUUCUUUUUCCGGGAGCAGGUCUUCUGGCUUUACAACCCCUCCUCCAGAUUCUGUCAUCAAGUGAUGACCACAGGGCUGCUCUGUGUACUGCUGUCAGACGCGACAGUGAAAUUUUGUAAUUUCACUGUCGCGGUCCUCCUGCAUGACAGAAAAUAAUUGGACAUUACUGCUCACGGGGAGGACUUCUCUCAUUGGAGUCAGCUUCUGGGUCCCAGUGAGAGGGAUGGGGUCGAGUCCAUAUGUUUGUAUGCGAGUAACCGAACAUGAGAAACUCACAUCCCCUUUCACAAGCCAAACCUGCAGAGCAGGGUGGAGCAGUUCCAUCAUGUAUCUGCAGGCUAAGUAUUUGUUGCCUCUUGAAUUUCAGAGGCCACAAAAUCCAUCAGUCCUGAUAUUAUUCAUCUCUGAUACUCUGUGCCACCCUCCCAAAGAUAUAUUAAGAGACAUUUUGGGCAGGAGCAGCUAAAACUAAUGCUAACAUAGCCCAGCUGUAAUGCAGUUGACUAAUACUACACUUGAAAAAACCUCAGACAAGUGUCACAUACAGUAACACUGCAGACAUUCCCUGAGUGCAGUUCGUUGUGGGUGAUCUUUCUGUGCUUGGCAAACUACAAAACAGUCUGCCAUUGCCUUCACCUUUCAAGUUCCCUUCCAUGAAACAGAUCAGGCUGCACUCUUAGAAUGUGACUUUUCAUAUUUGUCCAGAUGUGUGUCAUUAAACAAACAAAAAAAAACACACAGGUCACACAGAGGGCCCUGGGAAUCAUCAUUUUAUCAAUCUCCCCACUGUCACUUACUCUUUGACUGUCCAAACUCAAAACCCACCUUUUUACCAGGGCCUGUGUCUACUAGCCCUACAAUCUACUCCUACUGUCUAGACUAGAUUAGCUCUUGUUCGUCUGUUUUCUUUUACUUGACAUUGUACUAUUUUUGUCUUUAUCACUAUGUACAGUGUCCUUGUAUUUAAAAAUAAGUUUGUUAUUAUUACUGUGUAAACACUAGCCUUAUGCUGUGAUGUUUGUGCCUGUCCUUACAUGAUGUACAAGGCGUAACUACUGUACACUAGAUCUUUCUUUUUGCUCUAACUGUUGCCUUGUAGUUAUAUUCUUGAUGCCUUUGAACAUGAAAUUAAACAUCCAUGUACUGUUAUUGCAAAACAAAAAUCGUUCUUACUUGUGUGGCUUCUGUGAAUUUCUUCUGACUAUCAAUCUACUGCAAAGAAAAAAUAAAAGACAAUGGUCAAAAACCACAGUGUUUUCCACACACA